This 198-nucleotide ribosomal RNA is filed under the name Oreolalax xiangchengensis (Xiangcheng lazy toad). Its description in RNAcentral is "partial 12S ribosomal RNA". It matches the Rfam family "Bacterial small subunit ribosomal RNA", at positions 1301 to 1524 of the family's 1533-position model. Lineage: Eukaryota; Metazoa; Chordata; Amphibia; Anura; Megophryidae. The record is from RNAcentral.
AUCAGUAUGAAACCUGAUUAUGAAGGAGGAUUUAGCAGUAAAAAGAAAUCAGCAAGUUCUUUUUAAGUCGGACCUAGGGCGCGUACACACCGCCCGUCACCCUCUUCAACUCAUUUCACCCUAUUUAUAAUAAAAUAAUUGGAGAUAAGAAGAGGCAAGUCGUAACAUGGUAAGUAUACCGGAAGGUGUACUUGGAAC